RNAcentral lists this long non-coding RNA (3907 nucleotides) under Coffea arabica (coffee). Its description in RNAcentral is "long non-coding RNA (CARA_LNC000838)". Lineage: Eukaryota; Viridiplantae; Streptophyta; Magnoliopsida; Gentianales; Rubiaceae. The record is from RNAcentral.
CAUUUUGUCUAAUCAUCAAAUCUAUUCUUACAAUGAAUAUGUGCCCGCCCUACUAAUUAAUAAUAUCACAAACUUGAGAUCAUCAGACGACCGACCUAAAUCAAAUGGCGGAGGAGCUCUCCCGACACAAUGCAAAAGACCUGGCCAGUUUCACAGCAUCUUGCACCCUAAGCCGAGUUCCUUGUUGCCCAACAACCACAGAUGCCACCUUAGCGGCAAAGCCACCCAUACCUUUCAAAUCCGAAACUCCCCGCAGUAUACCAUACAAUAUACCUGAAGCAUAAGCAUCCCCCGCACCACAAGUAUCCACCGGCGGCGUGCAAGGAGGAGCAGGAAUAUACACUGCUUCCCCUUUCACCCCGAUAUAAGAUCCUCUUGGUCCAUCCGUCACCGAUACUAGAGGCACAAAGUGGCUUAGGUACCUUGUAGCCGAAACGGGGCUUUCCUUCGACGAAAAGUGACAGAAAGCUCUGGCUUCAUCGCUAUUCGCGAAAACGAUGUCAGCAUAGUUAGCCAUGAUGUCCCUGGGCCGCCCCCAAAAAAAAAAAAAGAAACAGCACCUCAUUAGCAAACCACAAAUUACUCGUUAGGAAUUGGGUUUGAAAGAUCAGAAUAUGCUGCAUAGCAUCGCCUAAAUGCACCAGGUUCCAAGCUCUAAUAGUUUAAGAACAACAAGCUGACAAAGUAGCAGAUACUUGAGGAGGCCUAUGUAAAUUAGUACUGCUCAAUGCUUCUCUACAGUUAAUUAAAUAGAUCUUCGAGUAUGAAGGGGAAGCCGUACAAAAAUCUAAAGCAAAUCUUCUGAAAGAGUUGUUAUACGCUAAACUCCAGUGCUAAGACAUAUAAGAAACGAGGCGGAGGCUGGGAAGAACAUAUGCCAUAUUUACCAAAAAUCAUCAUAGUGUCUCUCAAUGCAAGAAAUAUCUGAUGCUGUGACAGCGACUAAAGCACCAAAGCUGCGGGCAACCUCACAUGCUUUUGAUAUGGUUUUGAUUGUAUCAGGAAAUUCAAAUAGAUAUCCUUCAACAAUGAGCACAUCUGUUUUGCAAAUUGAGCUAGCCAAGGAGGAAUCGUAACUAAUGGUGGAAGAUGUACCCUGUCACCACAAACAAAGAGAGUCUAAGUAAAAGAACAUGUGCAAAAUAAAAAGGGGCAGUACCCUGACAACGUGCGUAACACGAAAUACAAUAUACAUUCAUUGAAAACUGCAGAAUGGUUUUUGAGAGAAUAAAGGCAGUGCAAAUAUCAUUCCACCCAAAACAAUAGGGUCACUCCAUUUAAUCAAAAGAUGCAUGCUGCUUUAUACUCACAGCCAGAAAACAAAAAUUUGCUGCAGAACCUAUCUGCAAAUGAAUAGGGCCUAAGUUGUGGUUGACAGAGAGAUAAUGCCUCCAGUCAUCAUGUAGACAGUGAGAUUAUGCACAACAACAUCACAGUGGAAAUUAGUUAUUCAAAAUGUCAAACUAUAUUUUUUUUUAAAAAAAAAAGGGAAAGAAUGCUGUUUUUACUAUAUAUAUCCAUAAAACCAUUUCAGCGCCGCCAACUCCAGCUGAUAUCGAUAAGCUACAUCCUUUCGUCAUUAUCAUCAUAACUACAUAAAGCUAAUCAUCAAGUUUAUCAAGUGCUUUUCCUUAAAGCAAAUCCGUCACCUCAUUAUCUACUCUCAAGUAGGGACUACAAUAGCAUCUAAAACAAUUUAAUGUAAUUUGAAAUUGGUUAAACCUAAAAUACAAACGUCAAAGAGUACGUAAAUGAAGUUUCUAAGCAUUAAACUUUCUUUGAUCAGUCAUAGCUGCCAUGACCGUAGCACUGUUAGGAUCGCAGGAAGCUGCCACCACAAUUCCUCAAAUACAACCAUGCUAACUUUAAUCGAGCACCAAAGCCUACAUUCUAUCUUAUAACAAGGCCACCAACACAACCAAAACUUCAGUAUCACCAGAUAUGCGAGUACCCAACACUAGAAUACUGGCCUUGUUAUCAAUUGAUUAUUUUAGCUAAUUAUAGAUUCAGAUUUUCAAUAAUCAGUUUUUUGACGUUUUGGUUUGGUUUUGCACUUAGAUUAUAGAUUUUUUAAUAGCCAAAUAAGCUAAAAUCCAUAAUCUACCAAAGAUUUUUGCUGAUUCUGAUUAUUUUCUAUAAUCAGCUUAUGCAAAAUCUUAAGCAAAAGAACUAGGCCACUCCAAAAAGCAUCAAUUUUUGUGAAACACGAACUCAUGGUGAGCAAAACAAAAGGAGCUCCACCACUGGUUGAACUUGAUGCAAAAAACUUCUUCCCUGAAAAGGUUAAGCACCCAUUAAGUACCUGAUAAGCAAGCAUUGUACGCUGGGCAUCUGGUGUUGUGAGAACAACAACUGUUCCAGUAGUUCCCUCAUUAACAGGUGCCGACAGGAAACUCACAUUUGCUCGUUUCAAUUUUGACCUAUCCAACACAACCAGAUUAGAAACAAUAAGCAGUACAAAAAUGUUGGUGUUGCAGAAAUACAUACACCACAAAGGCACCUUUUUAAGUGAAAAAAUGAGAGAGAGAGAGAGAGAGAGAGAGAGAGCCCAGGGAUUUCCAAUGUUCUUGGAAAGAUUGGUAGAAAUUUUCAUUUGACAGAGUUCAGCAAUAAUUAAAACCUGUGGAUAUUUAAGUAUGGUGAAAACUCAACAGAAAAGGGUGAGGACAAUAAAGGAUGACAUACCUGUAAAACCCACCAAGCGGAUCACUUCCAACACUGCCUGCCAUAGCUACAUUUAGGGAAGGACCUCCCACAGGUAGACCACCAAGCCUGGCCAAGGCGACCAGAGUGUUGGAAAGAGAGCCACCAGCUGCAGCCUUGUAGCUGCAUCCAUCCAUAGCCUGUAAAACUCUACCCCUUUCCUCAUGAUUUACAACUUUCCUUGUACCCUUUUCCAGUCCAAGUCUCUCGAGGAAUUCAUCAUCAACCAUGCCAGAAAAAUCAACCUAAGAAGAAAAAGGAUCACGCCACGAAUUUCUCCUUUUGCGAACAAAACAAGAAAAGAAAAGGAAAGGAAAAGAGAAGGUGACGAAAUUGUUUUGCUCCAGUGAAAGUGGCAAAUAGUGGACGGAGGGUGCACGAAGUAGGAGAAUUGGAAAAGGGUGUCAUCAACUGACAACUAAUCAACGAAGAAAGACAUAGGGGAAGGGAAUGUGUGAUAAUCAGAGCAACAAGUGCUGUUGGAGAUGGCAGAAGAUAAAUAGAGCAGUAGUUCAGUAAUUGAAAGCGAAUUGGGGUAGUAGUACGAGUUGAAAAGUUACCAUGGCCUGGCCGAGACCCAAGACGUCCCAUCUGUCGGGCAAAGAAGAAGGAGAAGGAGGAGAGAGGUCAUGAAGAUUGUGGCGGCAGCUGCGGCGGCGGUGGCAUUGAGGAAUUGGAACGUGGGAGUCGUCGUCAUCGUCAUCAUCAUCAUCAUCUUCAGAGUCGGAAUCAGUUUGGGAAUGGGUGGUUGUAUGACUAAAAUCAUCGGAACUUCCAUCGUCGGAGGAGGAGGAGGAGGAGGAGAGCCUGGUGGUGGUGGGGGUAGGGUGGUGGUAGGCAAAGCCAUUAUUGUCAGAGUAAUAAGAAGUUGAAGAGGAGGUAGACAUAGAAGAAGAAGGAAGAGGAGUAAUAAUAGGAGGAGAGGUAGGGGUGCCGGGGAAAGGGAAAAAUAGAGAAGAGGCGGAGGAAGAGCUGGGAAAGGGAAAAGAAUAAGUAGGAGUAGGAGUGAGUGGAGAGCUGGAGAUGGUAGAAUGAAGAGGGUGAGGAAAGAGAGGGGGAUUGGUGGAGGAUUUGAUCCUGAACAAGUGGGGAAUUGGUGGAGGAGGAGACCCAGCCAUGAAAUUCAUGAUAGAUAAGGGGUGUUGGCGUUGGACGAUACAAACCGACGACAUAUCUUUUUCCACUAGAAAAAAUGUUAGUUAUU